RNAcentral lists this ribosomal RNA (213 nucleotides) under uncultured Planctomycetales bacterium. Its description in RNAcentral is "partial 16S ribosomal RNA". It matches the Rfam family "Bacterial small subunit ribosomal RNA", at positions 416 to 647 of the family's 1533-position model. The record is from RNAcentral. Lineage: Bacteria; Pseudomonadati; Planctomycetota; Planctomycetia; Planctomycetales.
UUAGGAAAUGUAAAGGUGUUAAUAGCGCCUUUAUUUGACGAAGGCUCCAGAGGAAGCCACGGCUAACUCUGUGCCAGCAGCCGCGGUAAUACAGAGGUGGCAAGCGUUGUUCGGAAUUAUUGGGCGUAAAGAGCACGUAGGCGGUCCUGCAAGUCUGUUGUGAAAUCCUUCCGCUUAACGGGAGAACGGCAGCUGAUACUACAGGACUAGAGU